Lineus longissimus is the source of this 238-nucleotide long non-coding RNA. RefSeq lists it as uncharacterized. The record is from RefSeq and is a predicted model, not a curated record. NCBI's taxonomy places the organism in Eukaryota, Metazoa, Nemertea, Pilidiophora, Heteronemertea, Lineidae. The transcript is spliced from 3 exons.
AAAAAUGGUUCACAUCAGCAUCAGGUGGUAAUUGUCCAAGAGGCUGGCGCAUCAUAUGGUCCUGUUGUUGCUGCACGUGAUCUAAAUGUACAUGUCCCCCCUAUUCGACAGAUUGUGCCAUCCACCAGUCAUUCUGAAGCUUCAGGUACAUCCAACAGUGCUGAAACCAAAGACCCAUCUAUUGAUGUGUUAGAAAGUGAUUCAUUGCCUGAUCUGUCUACAGGAAUGGGUACUCAGG